This 910-nucleotide ribosomal RNA is filed under the name Microbacterium sp. RNAcentral's name for it is "bacterial SSU rRNA". It matches the Rfam family "Bacterial small subunit ribosomal RNA", at positions 62 to 983 of the family's 1533-position model. The record is from RNAcentral. Lineage: Bacteria; Bacillati; Actinomycetota; Actinomycetes; Micrococcales; Microbacteriaceae.
UCGAACGGUGAAGCCAAGCUUGCUUGGUGGAUCAGUGGCGAACGGGUGAGUAACACGUGAGCAACCUGCCCUGGACUCUGGGAUAAGCGCUGGAAACGGCGUCUAAUACUGGAUAUGAGACGUGAUCGCAUGGUCGUGUUUGGAAAGAUUUUUCGGUCUGGGAUGGGCUCGCGGCCUAUCAGCUUGUUGGUGAGGUAAUGGCUCACCAAGGCGUCGACGGGUAGCCGGCCUGAGAGGGUGACCGGCCACACUGGGACUGAGACACGGCCCAGACUCCUACGGGAGGCAGCAGUGGGGAAUAUUGCACAAUGGGCGGAAGCCUGAUGCAGCAACGCCGCGUGAGGGAUGACGGCCUUCGGGUUGUAAACCUCUUUUAGCAGGGAAGAAGCGAAAGUGACGGUACCUGCAGAAAAAGCGCCGGCUAACUACGUGCCAGCAGCCGCGGUAAUACGUAGGGCGCAAGCGUUAUCCGGAAUUAUUGGGCGUAAAGAGCUCGUAGGCGGUUUGUCGCGUCUGCUGUGAAAUCCCGAGGCUCAACCUCGGGUCUGCAGUGGGUACGGGCAGACUAGAGUGCGGUAGGGGAGAUUGGAAUUCCUGGUGUAGCGGUGGAAUGCGCAGAUAUCAGGAGGAACACCGAUGGCGAAGGCAGAUCUCUGGGCCGUAACUGACGCUGAGGAGCGAAAGGGUGGGGAGCAAACAGGCUUAGAUACCCUGGUAGUCCACCCCGUAAACGUUGGGAACUAGUUGUGGGGACCAUUCCACGGUUUCCGUGACGCAGCUAACGCAUUAAGUUCCCCGCCUGGGGAGUACGGCCGCAAGGCUAAAACUCAAAGGAAUUGACGGGGACCCGCACAAGCGGCGGAGCAUGCGGAUUAAUUCGAUGCAACGCGAAGAACCUUACCAAGGCUUG